CGGCGAGUGAAGCGGCAACAGCUCAAAUUUGAAAUCUGGCUCUUUUAGAGUCCGAGUUGUAAUUUGCAGAGGGCGCUUUGGCAUUGGCAGCGGUCCAAGUUCUUUGGAACAGGACGUCACAGAGGGUGAGAAUCCCGUACGUGGUCGCUAUCCUUUGCCGUGUAAAGCCCCUUCGACGAGUCGAGUUGUUUGGGAAUGCAGCUCUAAAUGGGAGGUAAAUUUCUUCUAAAGCUAAAUACUGGCCAGAGACCGAUAGCGCACAAGUAGAGUGAUCGAAAGAUGAAAAGCACUUUGGAAAGAGAGUCAAAUAGCACGUGAAAUUGUUGAAAGGGAAGCGCUUGCAGCCAGACUUGCCUGUAGUUGCUUAUCUAGACUUCUGUCUAGUGCACUCUUCUGCAGGCAGGCCAGCAUCAGUUUGGGCAGUUGGAUAAAGGUCUCUGUCACGUACCUCUCUUCGGGGAGGCCUUAUAGGGGAGACGACAUGCAACUAGCCUGGACUGAGGUCCGCGCAUCUGCUAGGAUGCUGGCGUAAUGGCUGUAAGCGGCCCGUCUUGAAACACGGACCAAGGAGUCUAACAUCUAUG
This 584-nucleotide ribosomal RNA is filed under the name Phaeosphaeria sp. RNAcentral describes it as "partial large subunit ribosomal RNA". It matches the Rfam family "Eukaryotic large subunit ribosomal RNA", at positions 87 to 686 of the family's 3401-position model. Lineage: Eukaryota; Fungi; Ascomycota; Dothideomycetes; Pleosporales; Phaeosphaeriaceae. The record is from RNAcentral.